Molecule: long non-coding RNA, 497 nt
Filed under: Capsicum annuum
Lineage: Eukaryota; Viridiplantae; Streptophyta; Magnoliopsida; Solanales; Solanaceae
Description: long non-coding RNA (CANN_LNC015072)
Source: RNAcentral
GGAUUAUGGAAAGGUUUGAGCGGAGGUUGGCCACUUGGAAGAAGCUACAACAACAACAACAACAAACCCAGUGUAUUCCCACUUUGUGGGGUCUGGGGGGGGUAAGAUGUACGCAGUCCAUACCUCUACCUCUGAUGAAGUAGAAAGGCUGUUUCCGAAAGACCCCCGGCUCAAGUUACGAGAUAUCAAACAAACACAUAGUACAGCACAGAAGCAGAUGACAUAACAUAGAUACUGCAGCCAUAAGGAAUAUAAAACAGAGUAAAGCAGGAAUGCAGGAAUAUAAAGCAGAGGAAAGCACACAGAUUCGUAACAAACAUAGAACACGGAACACGGAACAGAACAUUGAAAUACGGAAUCAUACCAGGAAUACACCCCCCCCAAUUACCUCCCUACAUUAGCGACCCGAACAGGCCCUAAUCUGCAGGAAUAUAAAGCAGAGGAAAGCACACAGAUUCGUAACAAACAGUGAUAAAUAGUGCGCUGGGCAGUUUAAG